RNAcentral lists this ribosomal RNA (479 nucleotides) under uncultured bacterium. Its description in RNAcentral is "bacterial SSU rRNA". It matches the Rfam family "Bacterial small subunit ribosomal RNA", at positions 23 to 481 of the family's 1533-position model. The record is from RNAcentral.
CUCAGAUUGAACGUUGGCGGCAGGCCUAACACAUGCAAGUCGAGCGGAAACGACAUUAUUGAUUCUUCGGAGGAUUUAAUGGGCGUCGAGCGGCGGACGGGUGAGUAAUGCCUAGGAAAUUGCCUUGAUGUGGGGGAUAACCAUUGGAAACGAUGGCUAAUACCGCAUAAUGCCUACGGGCCAAAGAGGGGGAUCUUCGGACCUCUCGCGUCAAGAUAUGCCUAGGUGGGAUUAGCUAGUUGGUGAGGUAAUGGCUCACCAAGGCAACGAUCCCUAGCUGGUCUGAGAGGAUGAUCAGCCACACUGGAACUGAGACACGGUCCAGACUCCUACGGGAGGCAGCAGUGGGGAAUAUUGCACAAUGGGCGAAAGCCUGAUGCAGCCAUGCCGCGUGUGUGAAGAAGGCCUUCGGGUUGUAAAGCACUUUCAGCGAGGAGGAAAGCUUAAGCGUUAAUAGCGUUUAGGUGUGACGUUACUCG